Non-coding RNA from Anas platyrhynchos (mallard), 1001 nucleotides. Lineage: Eukaryota; Metazoa; Chordata; Aves; Anseriformes; Anatidae. The record is from RefSeq and is a predicted model, not a curated record.
CCUCCCACAUGAUGAGGACGCAGCUAGUUUCACCGUGCUGCUUAAGCAGGAGAACAAAUGAGAUGCACUGAGACAGAGAAGUCCCUCCUGGUCACAGAAUGGGCAGGAGGAACACCCUUUGCUCCUCUAAAUUUUUAAGGGCAAAGGCAGGGGUUUAAUCACAUCAAUGAAGGGCAGCUGAGUCCAGGUGUAGGGGAUGCUUGGUUCAUGCUCUGCUCAGCUCCUUUUCAAAUUUUUCAUCCUCUUUUUGGGGGAAAGCACAAAAAGACUAUGGUCAGGUUGCAAGACUGACUGCGUUGCAUGGACUAGUUAGCAAUAGGCUUGCUGUAAACUAGAAAAAGCAAAAUUCCCUCUAUAAAAUGGGAAUAAUGAUGCUCUUUCCCCUUCUAAAUGUUUUGAAAUAUACAGAUGAAAGUCUUCAAUAGGAAGUCAGCUCCUAUUUUAAAACAAGCCUUCAAUAUUGUUUGCCUGCAAAGAAACAAAGGUUACAUGUUUCAAAAGUUUGCACAAUUCCUUCCCUUAGUGAGUAGGACAGUGUUUGAGUAAGAUUCGUCUGUUCUCCCCGUGGUCAGAAAAGGGAACCACAUGGACGUGACCAGUUGCGUAUGAGAAUGGAUGAACCACUGCAGAUGGGGGUCCCUGGAGGCUUCAGCUCCUCUGAUCUGGGGCUGAUGCAGAACUGAAAGCAUGUUUCUGCUCUGUGCCUUGUAUCUGCACUAAUGCGAGGAGGUGAAUAGCCAGUUCAGGGAACUAAUCUAGCUGAAAUCUUUCAAAAACAGCGAUGAAAUUUUAGGAAGAUCAGCUCUCAGAAAAGGAUCACCUCUGCAUGUACAAAAGAGUAGGUACAUAGUACUAAGCAUAUAGAAAGGAGUAUGUACUUGCCUUUAUCAGUGCUGCUGAUUCAGAUGCCCUCAAAUACAUGCUUGGACUACAUUAAGAAUUUAUCAAGGAAGUUCAGCUAGAAAUUAAGCUACAAAUAUAAUAUCUGUAAAGAAACAUCA